AGUGAACGCUGGCGGUAGGCCUAACACAUGCAAGUCGAACGGCAGCACAGUAAGAGCUUGCUCUUACGGGUGGCGAGUGGCGGACGGGUGAGGAAUACAUCGGAAUCUACUUUUUCGUGGGGGAUAACGUAGGGAAACUUACGCUAAUACCGCAUACGACCUACGGGUGAAAGCAGGGGAUCUUCGGACCUUGCGCGAUUGAAUGAGCCGAUGUCGGAUUAGCUAGUUGGCGGGGUAAAGGCCCACCGAGGCGACGAUCCGUAGCUGGUCUGAGAGGAUGAUCCGCCCCACUGGAACUGAGACACGGGCCCGACUCCCACGGGAGGCAGCAGUGGGGAAUAUUGGACAAUGGGCGCAAGCCUGAUCCAGCCAUACCGCGUGGGUGAAGAAGGCCUUCGGGUUGUAAAGCCCUUUUGUUGGGAAAGAAAAGCAGCAGGUUAAUACCCCGCUGUUCUGACGGUACCCAAAGAAUAAGCACCGGCUAACUUCGUG
This 492-nucleotide ribosomal RNA is filed under the name uncultured bacterium. Its description in RNAcentral is "partial 16S ribosomal RNA". It matches the Rfam family "Bacterial small subunit ribosomal RNA", at positions 29 to 507 of the family's 1533-position model. The record is from RNAcentral.